Non-coding RNA from Dipodomys ordii (Ord's kangaroo rat), 71 nucleotides. The record is from Rfam. Lineage: Eukaryota; Metazoa; Chordata; Mammalia; Rodentia; Heteromyidae.
GAAGGUGGCUCAGUGGUAGAAUGCAUGCCUUGCAUGCAUGAGGCCCUGAGUUCAAUUCCUCAGUACCAUCU